This 469-nucleotide ribosomal RNA is filed under the name uncultured Acidobacteriota bacterium. RNAcentral's name for it is "bacterial SSU rRNA". It matches the Rfam family "Bacterial small subunit ribosomal RNA", at positions 12 to 479 of the family's 1533-position model. The record is from RNAcentral. Lineage: Bacteria; Pseudomonadati; Acidobacteriota.
UUUGAUCCUGGCUCAGAAUCAACGCUGGCGGCGUGCCUAACACAUGCAAGUCGAACGCGAAAGCCCCGCAAGGGGUAAGUAGAGUGGCAAACGGGUGAGUAACACGUGGGUGACCUGCCUCAGAGUGGGGGAUAACGACCCGAAAGGGUCGCUAAUACCGCAUAACAUCCUGCAUUUGGAGAUGUGGAGAUCAAAGCCGGGGAUCGCAAGACCUGGCGCUCAGAGAGGGGCCCGCGGCCGAUUAGCUAGUUGGUAGGGUAACGGCCUACCAAGGCAACGAUCGGUAUCCGGCCUGAGAGGGCGGACGGACACACUGGGACUGAGACACGGCCCAAACUCCUACGGGAGGCAGCAGUGGGGAAUUGUUCGCAAUGGGCGCAAGCCUGACGACGCAACGCCGCGUGGAGGAUGAANAUCUUCGGGUCGUAAACUCCUUUCAAUCGGAAAGAAACCCUUUGGUGUUAAUACC